Molecule: RNA transcript, 1926 nt
Organism: Lates calcarifer (barramundi perch)
Lineage: Eukaryota; Metazoa; Chordata; Actinopteri; Centropomidae
Gene name: heterogeneous nuclear ribonucleoprotein D0
Exons: 9
Source: RefSeq, a predicted model, not a curated record
UCUGCCACAAAUUUCAGCAGUCGAAGAAGAACGAGCCUACGAUGAAAACAAAACGACUCUUUAAAAAUCUACUUUUAAAUUGUAGCGACUGAAACAAAUUUUUGCCUUACUGAGACACGUUUGGCCUGAAUUCAUAUUGACAUUAUUAUUUGAUUCACUUAGACAAACGCGAUAGCUUACUCUAAUUAGCGCCAAUAUUUUUAGUUAACAAUAUAUGAUAUCAAAAUAUUAGCUAGCUUAGCCACUAGCUAUCAUUAGCUCGCAGCUAACUUAAAGCCUUUGACGCAGCUUCAGUUUCUGAGCUGUUCAGUUAUAAACGAAUUACUUAAAAAGCCCAAACAUGUCGGAUGAUUAUGAAUUCAGCGACGACGCGACCAUGAUGAGAAUGGAGGAGGACGGAGAGGCAAACAGUGAUGACCCGAUGUCAGCGACCGGGGACUGUGGCCUGAUGGGGGGAGAGGCCGAGGGAUCCAGAAUUGACGCUAGUAAAAACGAGGAGGAUGAGGGGAAGAUGUUUGUAGGAGGGCUCAGCUGGGACACGACUAAGAAGGAUCUGAAAGAUUACUUCUCCAAGUUUGGGGAGGUUGUAGAUUGCACAUUAAAACUGGACCCCAUGACUGGACGUUCAAGAGGCUUUGGCUUUGUGCUCUUCAAAGAACCUGAAAGUGUUGAUAAGGUUGCCUCACAAAAGGAGCAUAAACUCAAUGGGAAGGUCAUUGACCCCAAAAAAGCCAAGGCCAUGAAGAGCAAGGAGCCCGUGAAGAAGAUCUUUGUUGGUGGUCUCUCUCCAGACACUCCUGAAGAGAAAGUCAGAGAGUACUUUGGUGCCUUCGGAGAGGUGGAGUCAAUUGAACUUCCCAUGGAGAACAAAACAAACAAAAGGAGAGGCUUCUGCUUCAUCACGUUCAAAGAGGAGGAACCAGUAAAAAAGAUCAUGGAGAAAAAAUACCACAACAUUGGACUAAGCAAGUGUGAAAUAAAAGUGGCAAUGUCUAAGGAACAGUACCAGCAGCAGCAGUACUGGGGAGGCAGAGGUGGAUACUUGUCCAGGUCUCGAGGAAGAGGUGGUGGUCCUAAUCAAAAUUGGAACCAGGGUUAUGGCAGCUAUUGGAAUCAAGGCUAUGGAAAUUAUGGCAAUUAUGGUUACAGUAAUCAAGGAUAUGGAGGAUAUGGUGGCUAUGAUUACUCUGGUUACAACAACUAUUAUGGAUAUGGUGACUACGACAACCAAUCUGGUGGAUAUGGCAAGUCGCCACGGCGUGGUGGUCACACCAACAGUUACAAGCCGUAUUAAUGGGGGAAACCCUCAUCUUCAAGUAGCGGAGCUUCCUUGCAGGCCAUGAGCUGACUCCCAGAUACUCUCAGGGCCCGCUCAAUGCGGACCGGGUACGAGAAGCAUACGCUCUCGAAUGCUGCCAUUUGGUUUCAGAGUGAUGAAAGUCUGCAGUGCGCUGGUGGAGCAUUGGCCAAAGAGAUGAUGGUAUCCAGCAAAGAUCACUUAGCUGAUUGUAAGAAAAUAAAUGAAGAACACUAUGACCUACAGUACAUUUCCUCUAUAUUUACCAGAGUAUUUGUUGUACCUUAAAAAGUUUUGGAUUUUGAUGUUUUGCAUUUAUUUAGAUUGCUGCAAAGUUUUAGCAGUUCCUCAUCCCUUCUUGUUUUUUUGUAUUUAAUGUUCUCAAAUGCUAUUUGUGAAUUGCUUGAUUUAUUCCAUAACUGAAAUGUUAGAUUGGUUGGAAUACAUCACACAUAUAUAUACAGUACUGUGGUAGCAAAGAUACAAAAUGCGUUGUUCCAAUUUAUCCACUUUAUCAUAGUCAUAUAAUACAUAUGUUAUUACAGAGCUCGACAGUCAUGAACAUACAGUAUAUAUACACAGUGUAUUGGACAUAAUGAAAUACAACAAAUAAAAAUAAUAAACACUUA